Molecule: ribosomal RNA, 424 nt
Filed under: uncultured bacterium
Lineage: Bacteria
Description: partial 16S ribosomal RNA
Rfam family: Bacterial small subunit ribosomal RNA
Source: RNAcentral
GAAUCUUCCACAAUGGACGAAAGUCUGAUGGAGCAAUGCCGCGUGAGUGAAGAAGGUUUUCGGAUCGUAAAACUCUGUUGUGAGGGAAGAACAAGUACGAGAGUAACUGCUCGUUCCUUGACGGUACCUCAUUAGAAAGCCACGGCUAACUACGUGCCAGCAGCCGCGGUAAUACGUAGGUGGCAAGCGUUGUCCGGAAUUAUUGGGCGUACUCCGCCCCCCCCCCUUCCCUUAUGUCUCAUCUCCCUUCCCCCGGCUCCCCCGUUGCAUGUCCUUUGAACCUGGGUGACUUGCGUACAGAAUAGCAACGCGGCCUUCCACGUGUCGCUGUGAACUGCAUAGCGCUUUGGAGGCCCACCAGUGGCGAAGGCGUCUUUCUUGUCUGUCACUGACGCUGAGGCGCGAAAGCGUGGGGAGCAAACAG